Molecule: ribosomal RNA, 1379 nt
Filed under: uncultured bacterium
Lineage: Bacteria
Description: bacterial SSU rRNA
Rfam family: Bacterial small subunit ribosomal RNA
Source: RNAcentral
AGAGUUUGAUCCUGGCUCAGGAUGAACGCUGGCGGCGUGCUUAACACAUGCAAGUCGAACGAGCGGAGGUCCUUCGGGACCAAUGCGAGUGGCGGACGGGUGAGUAACGCGUGGGUAACCUGCCUAUGUCACCGGGAUACCGAUUGGAAACGAUCGCUAAUACCGGAUAACCCGCUAGUACCGCAUGGUACAGACGGAAAAGCGCAUACGGACAUAGAUGGACCCGCGUCUGAUUAGCUAGUUGGUGGGGUAACGGCCUACCAAGGCGACGAUCAGUAGCCGAACUGAGAGGUUGACCGGCCACAUUGGGACUGAGACACGGCCCAAACUCCUACGGGAGGCAGCAGUGGGGAAUAUUGCACAAUGGUGGAAACCCUGAUGCAGCAACGCCGCGUGAGUGAUGAAGUAUUUCGGUAUGUAAAGCUCUAUCAGCAGGGGAGAUAAUGACGGUACCUGCAUAAGAAGCCCCGGCUAACUACGUGCCAGCAGCCGCGGUAAUACGUAGGGGGCAAGCGUUAUCCGGAUUUACUGGGUGUAAAGGGAGCGUAGGUGGCGUGGCAAGUCAGAAGUGAAAGCCCGGGGCUUAACCCCGGGACUGCUUUUGAAACUGUCGUGCUAGAGUGCAGGAGGGGUAAGCGGAAUUCCUAGUGUAGCGGUGAAAUGCGUAGAUAUUAGGAAGAACACCGGUGGCGAAGGCGGCUUACUGGACUGUAACUGACACUGAGGCUCGAAAGCGUGGGGAGCAAACAGGAUUAGAGACCCUGGUAGUCCCACGCCGUAAAACGAUGAAUACUAGAUGUUGGCGGGCAUAGCCCGUCGGUGUGGAAGUUAACGCAUUUAAGUAUUCCACCUGGGGGAGGUACGUUCGCAAGAAUGAAACUCAAAGGAAUUGACGGGGACCCGCACAAGCGGUGGAGCAUGUGGUUUAAUUCGAAGCAACGCGAAGAACCUUACCAGAUCUUGACAUCCUCCUGACGUAUCUUGUAAUGAGAUAUUCCCUUCGGGGCAGGAGUGACAGGUGGUGCAUGGUUGUCGUCAGCUCGUGUCGUGAGAUGUUGGGUUAAGUCCCGCAACGAGCGCAACCCUUGUCUUUAGUUGCCAUCAGGUUAAGCUGGGCACUCUAGAGAGACUGCCGGGGACAACUCGGAGGAAGGUGGGGAUGACGUCAAAUCAUCAUGCCCCUUAUGUUCUGGGCUACACACGUGCUACAAUGGCCAGUACAGAGAGAUGCAAUACUGUGAAGUGGAGCGAAACUCUAAAGCUGGUCCCAGUUCGGAUUGUAGGCUGCAACUCGCCUACAUGAAGUCGGAGUUGCUAGUAAUCGCGGAUCAGCACGCCGCGGUGAAUGCGUUCCCGGGUCUUGCACACACCGCCCGUCA